GUAGAUAUCAGGAGGAACACCGGUGGCGAAGGCGACUUUCUGGCCCUAUACUGACGCUGAGACGCGAAAGCGUGGGUAGCAAACAGGAUUAGAUACCCUGGUAGUCCACGCUGUAAACGAUGUUCACUAGGUGUUGGGGGUAUUGACCCUUCCAGUGCCGCAGCUAACGCAUUAAGUGAACCGCCUGGGGAGUACGGUCGCAAGAUUAAAACUCAAAGGAACUGACGGGGGCCCGCACAAGCGGUGGAGCAUGUGGUUUAAUUCGAUGCAACGCGAAGAACCUUACCUAGACUUGACAUCCCGGGAAUCCUUAGGAAACUAAGGAGUGCCUUUCGGGGAGCCCGGAGACAGGUGCUGCAUGGCUGUCGUCAGCUCGUGUCGUGAGAUGUUGGGUUAAGUCCCGCAACGAGCGCAACCCUAUCUUUAAUUGCCAUCAUUCAGUUGGGCACUUUAAGAGACUGCCGGUGUUAAGCCGGAGGAAGGUGGGGAUGACGUCAAGUCCUCCAUGGCCUUUAUGUCUAGGUUACACCGGUGCUACAAUGGGGUG
RNAcentral lists this ribosomal RNA (547 nucleotides) under uncultured bacterium. RNAcentral's name for it is "bacterial SSU rRNA". It matches the Rfam family "Bacterial small subunit ribosomal RNA", at positions 690 to 1237 of the family's 1533-position model. The record is from RNAcentral.